Astatotilapia calliptera (eastern happy) is the source of this 1291-nucleotide long non-coding RNA. Lineage: Eukaryota; Metazoa; Chordata; Actinopteri; Cichliformes; Cichlidae. The record is from Ensembl.
GUUGGCAACACUGCUGACAGCAGUUGGGGGCGACUGCUGCAGAUGACGAUCCGUCGCCUGUGAGCGCUUGGCACAGGUGAGGUGCCCAUGGCAACACCGCUGCUUGUUGAGAGUAAGAGCGAUACGUGCUUUCACGUCAAAAAGUUGUCCUGAGUCUUCCUAAUAACGCCAGCAAAAGUCGGCAGAUUUGUCACUAGUCGCUUUUUAGACAAAAAGUCGCUAAGGGGGUCUGACUACUCGCUAAAUAUAGCAACAAAGUCGCUAAGUUGGGAACACUGGUCGCAUGAAGGAGCUACCUGAUGCCUGUAGAGACUAAGAUAUGGCUGUUUUUUUUUUUUUUUUUGUUCUUUUAUCUUUGAUUAUUUCACAGUUUGCACAGCCUUGUGGUGACCACUUCUGAGAAGAUUGGUAGCUGUCUUGAGUAUUAAAAAUCAUUUUAAUGACUUAUUCCUGUAGAGAAAGAUGUAAGGAUGCAUUUAGUUAACCUGGCAUUUUGAGUUAUUCUGCAUUUGGUUCGUUCUUCGUGUUAUUAUAACGUUUAUUUGUCUUUGUGUUGUUCACUCUCCAGGUCCUGCUCGUGUUAUUGUGUCUCUUCUCUCUUUUCUAUUCCUAUGUUUCCCUCCAUGUGUUUCAUCCAAUAUCUCCCCCAUCUGUCAUGUGCAUGUUCUCCCCAGGUCAUCUCUCUCUCUCUCCCUUGAAGUUUCGUCUCCAUUAACUGUUUCCGUGUUUCCCUCUUUGUGUCUCCUCCCUUUGUUUCCCCAGCCUGUCAUGUUCCCAUGUGCGCUUCUUGCUCCUGGCCCUGUGUCAUUCCACAUGUUUUAGUAUGUCUUAGUGUUUCCUGUUUUAUUUUGGCAGUCUCUCAUCCUGUGUUCUGUGUGUUCUGUUUACUUCAAAUGUGUCAUUAUGUCUAGUCGUCCCAGCUGUGUUCCCAGUGUUUUUCCACUUCUCUCGUCACCCUCAUGUGUAGGGGUGGGUUUUAAUUAUCGAUUAAAAUCUAUUCUAGCUUGGAUAACUUAAAAUCGAUUCAUUAAAAUCCUGAAUUGAUUUUUAAAUAUAAUUUUAUUUUGCCCGAAACGCCAGAAUCUCAGGUUAAACCUCACAAAAUUUCAACAACCACCAAACAGCUAAAACAGUAAAUGAGGGCAGGUACAUGGAUUCUGCACAAGGACGUAAACACAAAGCGUGGAUAAGAAUCAGUGAGAUGUGGCUUUCUCACCCGAUGGCACGGACACGGUUGGGGCUGAAAACCGACAGCUUUCUGAUUCUUAUCCGUCGGCAGGAUGCGGCAGAA